Centrocercus urophasianus (Greater sage-grouse) is the source of this 2069-nucleotide long non-coding RNA. RefSeq lists it as uncharacterized. The record is from RefSeq and is a predicted model, not a curated record. NCBI's taxonomy places the organism in Eukaryota, Metazoa, Chordata, Aves, Galliformes, Phasianidae. The transcript is spliced from 3 exons.
ACAAAGCAAACAGCAGCGCUUCCAUGCCUGUGAUCUGAGCUGCAACUGCUGUAUUUUUUUUUUUUUUUUGCGUAAGUUCACAGUCUGAAGAGAAAUGAAAGCACCUCUCCUUAUCUCGUACAUCUGUGCUGCAGUAGGAGCUGCUUCCUUUCGUGUAUGAAUUCUGCCCUUCUAAAAACGACUUUAUGGCCUCUGAUAGUUUGCAAAGCUCUGCUGGGUGGGAUGGAUAGCUGAGGAGGAGGGGUGGCCUCCAAAGGCACUGCCUUCUCCCAUCGCUGACCCCCAGUGUUCCCCCAGGCCCUGCCCUCCCAACCUGACUCAUGCUAAUGGAAGAACAAAGUGACUGAGUGCCUUUCUCCCCCUGAGUGUGGGAGAAAGAAGUUCCAGACCUCGACCACUUCUCUAUUUUUCCUAUAAAUACCCUAUUUGCAGAAGCACUCUUCAUAUCCUAGGCUCACAAUAUUCAUUAUUCUUAAAGAAAUGAAUGGUUUCCCUGUAUAAAUCGUACUAUUUUCCCUCCCAGCAUUGUUUCUGUGAUUUCAAGCAUCCAAGAGCUUAUGCUGGCUGAAGCUACCUGGAUGUGCUCUUCAGAGCCAUGCAGCGUUGCUUUUGUGUUCAUCCUUUUGCCUCCGGGGGCAUCAUUGUAGUCCCUGUUUGUUAAUUCUACAAGGGUUUGUUUUGCAGAGAUCAGAUUUUUCUUCUUGCUUUGGGCUUGCUAAUCCAGGGACUGAGCACUGCCUGAGCGCACUCCAGUACAACACACACGUCCUGGGGCUGCUCAGAGAAAGGAGAAAGUUAUGGGAAAACUAUGAUUAAAGAAAAAAAAAAAGCGGUUUCCAGUCAAUAUUAAAUGAUCCAUUGCCAAAGAUUUUAAGCUUUUCCAGGUAUGCAGUAUGGAGCCUUGAGAAGCAAGUGACUUGGAAUAGGAAAACAAGUGCGUGGCUUGCUUUUGUCUGGAUAGAGGCAGUUGUUGUGCCCCAAAGAAAGGAAGAAAGCAGCUGAAGCAGAGCAUCCUGCUCAGGGAGCAGAAAGCCAGUGCCUGGCUCCAUCAUGGACAGCUUUGAAGGAAGGAGCAUAAACCAGAGAGGAGGCUGAGAGCAGAGCUGGUGCCAGGCUCCAGACACACAGACCAGCUGAUGGCUUUGUGGCAGCGUGGGGACCAGGCACGGUGCCCUGGGAGGUUAAGGAUUGGGACACAGGGGAGAAGGAAACGUCAUCAGAACUGCAUUGAGAAUUGUCAUCCUGACAGCCACUGCUCAACCAGUGUAGAGGGAGGAGCAGUGACAACGUGAUCCUUUCCCUGUGUUUUAGGACAGCAAGAUUCAUGCUCUGCUAAAACCCCAGUCCUGCUUUGGAUGUAGUCUUUAACAACCAGAUGGAUACAUUUGGACUGGGCAUCUCCUGCUGGCUGAGCACUGGCCUUUGAGAGGGAGGAUAACAGCCCUGCUAUUCAUAGCCCAGGUGCAUGCUGCCCCAUUUCCUGCAGCUUCAGGCCUCGCCAUGCAUGCCCCGCUGUGCUUCUGCCCUGGUGCCUGACACAGAGGAAGCCAAGCAAGACAGCACUGGUGAUGGAACCUCCUGCAGCUGGGGCAGCUGCGUGUACAGCACAGUGUACAGUGCUGCGUGGCGGUGGGAAUGGGACUGUGAGAUGACAGCCUUGCUGUGACCCACAGCCCAGCCAAGCUCCCUGUGUCCCAAAGCAGAACACACCUUGGUGCUGCUGCUGAGCAGCUCAGAGUCCCCACAUAACCUAUUUUUCCUCAGUUCUGUGCUACUGCUACAGAUGGGGUCAGGUGGGAUGCAGCUGCUGGGAGCAGAUGCUGUGCAGCAUCAGGGAGAGCACAGGUCUCAGUCUGCAGAUGGAGUGUUGGAACGAGGUCAGGGAAAAUGCUGCAUCUGGACUUUUUUAAUUAAUGGAAAAUUAGCUUUUUUGAUAAGAUCAGAACUUCCCAGGAAACCAUCCGUGUUCCUCUGAGGUUUGGAGCGUUUUAGGGUGAUGAUGAAAGCUGCAAAGUUGAAAAUAAACUUUGUGCAGCAGUCUGAAAAAAUAAAGCAUGGGGAAGCAGAAA